AUCUGCACUGACAGCCACCCCCCUUACACACACACACUCUCUCUUUCUCAUUCUCCUUUCCCUCCUCUCCAUCUCCCUAUUGCAUUGUGUCUGACUGAUUUUCAGAGCACCUUCGCUGUUUCCCCCUUCUCGUUCCCUUCUCAUAAAAUAUCUAGACAGGAAGGAGGUGGCUGCAGAGGCUGAACAAUCUCAUAUUCUGCCUGCAAUGUCAUCGUUUCUUUCCCCCAUUUUAGGGGGCUGAAGUUGCCCAGCAAGGGAUGCAGAGGAGCUGGAAAAGAAGGGGGGAGCUCUCCAGAGGCAGCUGCGGUCAGGGGCAGGGACUGCCGCCAGAUGUGCCUGCCUUUCUGGGCUUUGAUGAGAAAGGGGCAGCAGGAGGAAAUAUUGGGAGACAAAAGCCCCGGUUUAAAUGAUCAUUUUCUUUAUUUAACAUGGCAGCAGACACUCUCUGCGUAGGAUCAUCAUGCCGAGCAUAAACUGGACUUUCCCACUUGCCUGGCAGGAGUCACACAGAUCCCUGCGUGCUAAAUGAACAUCUGAGACCCUUGAAUCCUGACUAUUGGAGAAACAGCACCAUAUUUUGGAUACUGAUUCAGACCAUAUACAGCCUUCUGGAGAAUCUUGCCCCAGUCCUGAAAGGUAUUUCUAUUCAUCUAGUUGGUGCUAUAACUGAGUCUUCAAAAGACAAUUCCACUGUUCUAUCAAGAAAGCUGCUUCAGGAUGGUGGGAAAUAUGGUUUUGGUAUCAGGAUGAUGCUGGCAUCAUAAAAUGAGUAUUUUUCUUCAGACUUCAGACUGCUGUGCUGGAAGCAAGAAUUUCAAGCAUUGGAUCUUAGCUUGCUGGGCUCCAUAGGGGUGGGAUCCACUGAGCUAGACCACUUGGCUCCCUGGCUUCAGCCCCCUUCCAGAUGUCCUUGGCGUGUACACCCUGUGGAAUCUGGUUCAUCUUCAAUCUGUCAGAAGGCAUCAGAGGUGGUUUUGACUCCUUAUGUCUUGGACCUGUGCACAAAAAGUGUAAAAUGGAUGGAACAUCAGACAGCUCAUUAUAGAGACAAGUAAGCUCCAGUUCCAAAGUUGGUUGACAGAACAAGUCAUGACCUUGUGUGGAGGAAAAUGAGAUCCCGAGUGAAGUCUACAAUGUCAUUGACUCUGAAGAAGGACUCAGAGACCCAUUGGUGUUUAAUGACCCUUACUGGCCUAUGCAAUGGAAACUGGUAUGAUCUUCAGAAAUAGAUGGUUCUUUGGCAGUGUUAAGAAAUAUUAUUUUUGUCAUGUUCUAAUGCAGUAGAUAGGCACUUUUAUGCACUGCCUGCUUUUAUCUAUUGGUUUUGCAGAGAGAGACUUAGCAAACUUUUGAUGAAAUAUUACUGCCAUCUUAUUAAUGAACACUAAUCCUUUUAAUUUGAUUACAUCCUUAGGGUUUGAUUUAAUCUAUAAAAGACACCAGUAAAAACCCCAAGAUAUUUAAAUUUGGUGUGUGUAAACAGACUCAUUACAUAGAAAUGUUGUUGCCAUUCAGGCUUGAAGUUUUUGUUCUUGCAUAACUUAGAAUAUAUUCUAUAUUACA
Homo sapiens (human) is the source of this 1563-nucleotide long non-coding RNA. The record is from Ensembl. NCBI's taxonomy places the organism in Eukaryota, Metazoa, Chordata, Mammalia, Primates, Hominidae.